Molecule: ribosomal RNA, 253 nt
Filed under: uncultured bacterium
Lineage: Bacteria
Description: partial 16S ribosomal RNA
Rfam family: Archaeal small subunit ribosomal RNA
Source: RNAcentral
UACCAGCACCCCGAGUGGUCGGGACGUUUAUUGGGCCUAAAGCAUCCGUAGCCGGUUCUGCAAGUCCUCCGUUAAAUCCAGCUGCUCAACAGAUGGGCCGCGGAGGAUACUACAGAGCUAGGAGGCAGGAGAGGCAAGCGGUACUCAGUGGGUAGGGGUAAAAUCCGUUGAUCCAUUGAAGACCACCAGUGGCGAAGGCGGCUUGCCAGAAUGCGCUCGACGGUGAGGGAUGAAAGCUGGGGGAGCAAACCGG